AGACCUUCUCGGCCUUUUGGCUAAGAUCAAGUGUAGUAUCUGUUCUAAUCAGUGUGAAAACUGGUUUCCCGACUUUUAGUUGGGUCUUUUUCACAUUCAUUUUUGGACAUUCCGAGAAUGCUAGCUUGCUAGUUUUUCUUGGAACGGUCUCCGGGGGCUUACACCACUUCCCCCGCGAGGCCAACCAUUC
Phytophthora megakarya is the source of this 190-nucleotide small nuclear RNA. It matches the Rfam family "U2 spliceosomal RNA". From Rfam's summary of the family: U2 is a small nuclear RNA (snRNA) component of the spliceosome (involved in pre-mRNA splicing). Complementary binding between U2 snRNA (in an area lying towards the 5' end but 3' to hairpin I) and the branchpoint sequence (BPS) of the intron results the bulging out of an unpaired adenosine, on the BPS, which initiates a nucleophilic attack at the intronic 5' splice site, thus starting the first of two transesterification reactions that mediate splicing. Lineage: Eukaryota; Oomycota; Peronosporomycetes; Peronosporales; Peronosporaceae. The record is from Rfam.